Small nuclear RNA from Erinaceus europaeus (western European hedgehog), 113 nucleotides. The record is from Ensembl. NCBI's taxonomy places the organism in Eukaryota, Metazoa, Chordata, Mammalia, Eulipotyphla, Erinaceidae.
GUGCUGGCUUUGGCAACACAUAUACUAAAACUGCAACGACACAGAGAAGAUUAAGAGUAGCACGGCACCUGCACAAGGAUAACACAUAGAUUCAUGAAGCAUUCCAUGUUAAA